AGCAGCCGCGGUAAUUCCAGCUCCAAUAGCGUAUAUUAAAGUUGUUGCAGUUAAAAAGCUCGUAGUUGAAUUUCGGGAUCAAUUUGCUGGUCGUGCCUCUGGUACGUACUGGUAUUAUUGGUUUCUCCCUUCUGACGAACCAUGAUGUCAUUAAUUUGAUGUCGUGGAGAAUCAGGACUGUUACUUUGAAAAAAUUAGAGUGUUUAAAGCAGGCAUUAGCUUGAAUACAUUAGCAUGGAAUAAUGAAAUAGGACGUUUGAUCCUAUUUUGUUGGUUUCUAGGAUUGACGUAAUGAUUAAUAGGGAUAGUUGGGGGCAUUAGUAUUCAAUUGUCAGAGGUGAAAUUCUUGGAUUUAUUGAAGACUAACUACUGCGAAAGCAUUUGCCAAGGAUGUUUUCAUUAAUCAAGAACGAAAGUUAGGGGAUCGAAGACGAUCAGAUACCGUCGUAGUCUUAACC
This 458-nucleotide unclassified non-coding RNA is filed under the name uncultured Glomus. RNAcentral's name for it is "SSU rRNA". It matches the Rfam family "Eukaryotic small subunit ribosomal RNA", at positions 569 to 1031 of the family's 1831-position model. Lineage: Eukaryota; Fungi; Glomeromycota; Glomeromycetes; Glomerales; Glomeraceae. The record is from RNAcentral.